AGUGAACGCUGGCGGUAGGCCUAACACAUGCAAGUCGAACGGCAGCACAGUAAGAGCUUGCUCUUACGGGUGGCGAGUGGCGGACGGGUGAGGAAUACAUCGGAAUCUACUUUUUCGUGGGGGAUAACGUAGGGAAACUUACGCUAAUACCGCAUACUACCUACGGGUGAAAGCAGGGGAUCUUCGGACCUUGCGCGAUUGAAUUAGCCGAUGUCGGAUUAGCUAGUUGGCGGGGUAAAGGCCCACCAAGGCGACGAUCCGUAGCUGGUCUGAGAGGAUGAUCAGCCACACUGGAACUGAGACACGGUCCAGACUCCUACGGGAGGCAGCAGUGGGGAAUAUUGGACAAUGGGCGCAAGCCUGAUCCAGCCAUACCGCGUGGGUGAAGAAGGCCUUCGGGUUGUAAAGCCCUUUUGUUGGGAAAGAAAAGCAGCAGGUUAAUACCCCGCUGUUCUGACGGUACCCAAAGAAUAAGCACCGGCUAACUUCGUG
Molecule: ribosomal RNA, 492 nt
Filed under: uncultured bacterium
Lineage: Bacteria
Description: partial 16S ribosomal RNA
Rfam family: Bacterial small subunit ribosomal RNA
Source: RNAcentral